GUGUGGUCUGGAGGUCCAAGGAUGAGGAGGGAAGUGAGGAGAGACAGGUUUUGUCCAGAGAGGUGGUGUAGACUYAGAGGAUUCAAUGAGGUGGCGUGGACCCAGAGGAGCAAAAUAGAAAUUUUUUACAUAAAACGUAUUUCGUCUUAAAAGAUGUGACGUGCAUUUUCAUGCAAAUGGGAGUCCGAUGAAGAAGACAUAAUGGUGAAAUGAUGAGAAAAGGGACUGGACAAGGUGGCUAAAUCUCUGAAA
Molecule: long non-coding RNA, 252 nt
Organism: Austrofundulus limnaeus
Lineage: Eukaryota; Metazoa; Chordata; Actinopteri; Cyprinodontiformes; Rivulidae
Exons: 3
Source: RefSeq, a predicted model, not a curated record